GACGAACGCUGGCGGCGUGCCUAAUACAUGCAAGUCGAGCGGACUUCUUAAAAGCUUGCUUUUAAGAAGUCAGCGGCGGACGGGUGAGUAACACGUGGGCAACCUGCCUGUAAGACUGGGAUAACUUCGGGAAACCGGAGCUAAUACCGGAUAAUAUAANGAACCUCCUGGUUCUUUAUUGAAAGAUGGUUUCGGCUAUCACUUACAGAUGGGCCCGCGGCGCAUUAGCUAGUUGGUGAGGUAAUGGCUCACCAAGGCGACGAUGCGUAGCCGACCUGAGAGGGUGAUCGGCCACACUGGGACUGAGACACGGCCCAGACUCCUACGGGAGGCAGCAGUAGGGAAUCUUCCACAAUGGACGAAAGUCUGAUGGAGCAACGCCGCGUGAGCGAUGAAGGCCUUCGGGUCGUAAAGCUCUGUUGUUAGGGAAGAACAAGUGCGAGAGUAACUGCUCGCACCUUGACGGUACCUAACCAGAAAGCCACGGCUAACUACGUGCCAGCAGCCGCGGUAAUACGUAGGUGGCAAGCGUUGUCCGGAAUUAUUGGGCGUAAAGCGCGCGCAGGUGGUCCUUUAAGUCUGAUGUGAAAGCCCACGGCUCAACCGUGGAGGGUCAUUGGAAACUGGGGGACUUGAGUGCAGAAGAGGAA
Molecule: ribosomal RNA, 650 nt
Filed under: Bacillus sp. YIM KMY5
Lineage: Bacteria; Bacillati; Bacillota; Bacilli; Caryophanales; Bacillaceae
Description: bacterial SSU rRNA
Rfam family: Bacterial small subunit ribosomal RNA
Source: RNAcentral